GGGCAGGUAGCUCAGUUGGUAGAGCACGUGACUGAAAAUCACGGGGUCACCGGUUCAACCCCGGUCCUGCCCACCA
RNAcentral lists this transfer RNA (76 nucleotides) under Planctomycetota bacterium. Its description in RNAcentral is "tRNA-Phe". It matches the Rfam family "tRNA". Rfam says of the family: Transfer RNA (tRNA) molecules are approximately 80 nucleotides in length. Their secondary structure includes four short double-helical elements and three loops (D, anti-codon, and T loops). The record is from RNAcentral. Lineage: Bacteria; Pseudomonadati; Planctomycetota.